Molecule: ribosomal RNA, 428 nt
Filed under: uncultured eukaryote
Lineage: Eukaryota
Description: bacterial SSU rRNA
Rfam family: Eukaryotic small subunit ribosomal RNA
Source: RNAcentral
CAAUAGCGUAUAUUAAAGUUGUUGCAGUUAAAAAGCUCGUAGUUGGAUUUCUGGUCGGAGCGACCGGUCGGCGUCCUUUGUGGCGUGUGCACUGUUGUCGGCUCCGUCCAUCCUAGUGGGAAGGCGCGUGGGCAUUCAUUUGUUCGCGCGUGGCCCCGCUACGUUUACUGUGAAAAAAUUAGGUGUUAGUUCAAGGCGCGUUCGCUGUGAAUACAUUAGCAUGGAAUAAUGAGAUAGGACUUUGGCGUCUAUUUUGUUGGUUUGCACACCAAGGUAAUGAUUAAUAGGGAUAGUUGGGGGUAUUCGUAUUUAAUUGUCAGAGGUGAAAUUCUUGGAUUUAUGAAAGACGAACUUCUGCGAAAGCAUUUACCAAAGAUGUUUUCAUUAAUCAAGAACGAAAGUUAGGGGAUCGAAGACGAUCAGAUACC